This is a non-coding RNA of Tricladium varicosporioides, 102 nucleotides long. NCBI's taxonomy places the organism in Eukaryota, Fungi, Ascomycota, Leotiomycetes, Helotiales, Tricladiaceae. The record is from the annotation of a GenBank genome assembly.
GGCACUUUGGCGGAGUGGUUAACGCGAUGCCCUGCUAUUUCGUAAGGAAAGCAGUUCCAGGCAUUUCCUUCGGGAGCGUGUGUUCGAAUCACACAGGUGUCG